AGUGAACGCUGGCGGUAGGCCUAACACACGCAAGUCGAACGGCAGCACAGUAAGAGCUUGCUCUUACGGGUGGCGAGUGGCGGACGGGUGAGGAAUACAUCGGAAUCUACUUUUUCGUGGGGGAUAACGUAGGGAAACUUACGCUAAUACCGCAUACGACCUACGGGUGAAAGCAGGGGAUCUUCGGACCUUGCGCGAUUGAAUGAGCCGAUGUCGGAUUAGCUAGUUGGCGGGGUAAAGGCCCACCAAGGCGACGAUCCGUAGCUGGUCUGAGAGGAUGAUCAGCCACACUGGAACUGAGACACGGUCCAGACUCCUACGGGAGGCAGCAGUGGGGAAUAUUGGACAAUGGGCGCAAGCCUGAUCCAGCCAUACCGCGUGGGUGAAGAAGGCCUUCGGGUUGUAAAGCCCUUUUGUUGGGAAAGAAAAGCAGCAGGUUAAUACCCCGCUGUUCUGACGGUACCCAAAGAAUAGGCACCGGCUAACUUCGUG
This 492-nucleotide ribosomal RNA is filed under the name uncultured bacterium. RNAcentral's name for it is "partial 16S ribosomal RNA". It matches the Rfam family "Bacterial small subunit ribosomal RNA", at positions 29 to 507 of the family's 1533-position model. The record is from RNAcentral.